UACGUAGGGGGCAAGCGUUGUCCGGAAUCAUUGGGCGUAAAGCGCGCGUAGGCGGCCCGGUAAGUCCGCUCUGAAAGUCCAGGGCUCAACCCUGGAAAGCGGGUGGAUACUGCCGGGCUAGAAUCCGGAAGAGGCGAGUGGAAUUCCUGGUGUAGCGGUGGAAUGCGCAGAUAUCAGGAGGAACACCAAGAGCGAAGGCAGCUCGCUGGGACGGUAUUGACGCUAAUGCGCGAAAGCGUGGGGAGCAAACAGG
RNAcentral lists this ribosomal RNA (253 nucleotides) under uncultured bacterium. RNAcentral describes it as "partial 16S ribosomal RNA". It matches the Rfam family "Bacterial small subunit ribosomal RNA", at positions 524 to 776 of the family's 1533-position model. The record is from RNAcentral.